ACCACCACUCUGAAUGUAGUGCACACUUAAGAAUUUAUAUGGCUCAGCGUUGAGGCUGAGACAUGUUCUUUUAUAACUUGUGACGUAGCGAGCGUUUGAGAUAUCUAUCUAAACGUGUCGUUGAGGCUAAGGCGGGGACUUCGAGUCCCUAAAUAAUUGAGUCGUAUGUUCGCGUUGGUGGCAUUGUACCCCACACAACACGGCAUGUGAUCCUGAGGCAACUUGGGGUUAUAUGGUCAAGCGAAUAAGCGCACACGGUGGAUGCCUAGGCGGUCAGAGGCGAUGAAGGACGUGGUAGCCUGCGAAAAGUGUCGGGGAGCUGGCAACAAGCUUUGAUCCGGCAAUGUCCGAAUGGGGAAACCCACUGCUUCGGCAGUAUCCUGCAGUGAAUUCAUAGCUGCUGGAAGCGAACCCGGUGAACUGAAAUAUCUAAGUAACCGGAGGAAAAGAAAUCAACCGAGAUUCCCUAAGUAGUGACGAGCGAACGGGGAACAGCCCUUAAGCUGGAAUGGCUUUAGAAAAACAAUCUGGAAAGAUUGGCCAUAGAAGGUGAUAGCCCUGUAUUUAAAAGGGCCACUCCAGUGAAGACGAGUAGGGCGGGGCACGUGAAACCCUGUCUGAAUAUGGGGGGACCAUCCUCCAAGGCUAAAUACUCCUGACCGACCGAUAGUGAACCAGUACC
Molecule: small RNA, 682 nt
Filed under: Xanthomonas cassavae
Lineage: Bacteria; Pseudomonadati; Pseudomonadota; Gammaproteobacteria; Lysobacterales; Lysobacteraceae
Description: bacterial LSU rRNA
Rfam family: Bacterial large subunit ribosomal RNA (bases 235-682)
Source: RNAcentral